UUAACACAUGCAAGUCGAGGGGAAACGACAUCGAAAGCUUGCUUUUGAUGGGCGUCGACCGGCGCACGGGUGAGUAACGCGUAUCCAACCUGCCCACCACUUGGGGAUAACCUUGCGAAAGUAAGACUAAUACCCAAUGAUAUCUCUAGAAGACAUCUGAAAGAGAUUAAAGAUUUAUCGGUGAUGGAUGGGGAUGCGUCUGAUUAGCUUGUUGGCGGGGUAACGGCCCACCAAGGCAACGAUCAGUAGGGGUUCUGAGAGGAAGGUCCCCCACAUUGGAACUGAGACACGGUCCAAACUCCUACGGGAGGCAUCAGUGAGGAAUAUUGGUCAAUGGACGAGAGUCUGAACCAGCCAAGUAGCGUGCAGGAUGACGGCCCUAUGGGUUGUAAACUGCUUUUAUAAGGGAAUAAAGUGAGUCUCGUGAGACUUUUUGCAUGUACCUUAUGAAUAAGGACCGGCUAAUUCCGUGCCAGCAGCCGCGGUAAUACGGAAGGUCCGGGCGUUAUCCGGAUUUAUUGGGUUUAAAGGGAGCGUAGGCCGGAGAUUAAGCGUGUUGUGAAAUGUAGAUGCUCAACAUCUGCACUGCAGCGCGAACUGGUUUCCUUGAGUACGCACAAAGUGGGCGGAAUUCGUGGUGUAGCGGUGAAAUGCUUAGAUAUCACGAAGAACUCCGAUUGCGAAGGCAGCUCACUGGAGCGCAACUGACGCUGAAGCUCGAAAGUGCGGGUAUCGAACAGGAUUAGAUACCCUGGUAGUCCGCACGGUAAACGAUGGAUGCCCGCUGUUGGUCUGAAUAGGUCAGCGGCCA
This 811-nucleotide ribosomal RNA is filed under the name uncultured bacterium. Its description in RNAcentral is "bacterial SSU rRNA". It matches the Rfam family "Bacterial small subunit ribosomal RNA", at positions 48 to 849 of the family's 1533-position model. The record is from RNAcentral.